Molecule: ribosomal RNA, 254 nt
Filed under: uncultured bacterium
Lineage: Bacteria
Description: partial 16S ribosomal RNA
Rfam family: Bacterial small subunit ribosomal RNA
Source: RNAcentral
UACGGAGGGUGCAAGCGUUAUCCGGAUUCACUGGGUUUAAAGGGUGCGUAGGAGGGCAGGUAAGUCCGUGGUGAAAGCCCCGGGCUCAACCUGGGAAUGGCGAUGGAAACUGGCGGGCUGGAGUGCGGCAGAGGGGGGGUGGAAUUCCACGUGUAGCAGUGAAAUGCGUAGAGAUGUGGAGGAACACCGAUGGCGAAGGCAGCCCCCUGGGCCGACACUGACGCUCAGGCACGAAAGCGUGGGGAGCAAACAGG